GUGUCAGCAGCCGCGGUAAUACGUAGGUUGCGAGCGUUGUCCGGAUUUACUGGGCGUAAAGCGCGCGCAGGUGGUCCUGAAAGUCGAGCGUGAAAGCUCCCGGCCCAACUGGGAGAGGCCGUUCGAAACUUCAGGACUUGAAGGCGGGAGAGGCAAAUGGAAUUUCCGGUGUAGCGGUAAAAUGCGUAGAUACCGGAAGGAACACCAGUGGCGAAAGCGAUUUGCUGGCCCGCCCUUGACACUCAGGCGCGAAAGCUAGGGGAGCGACCGGGAUUAGAAACCCCCGUAGUCC
Molecule: ribosomal RNA, 292 nt
Filed under: uncultured bacterium
Lineage: Bacteria
Description: partial 16S ribosomal RNA
Rfam family: Bacterial small subunit ribosomal RNA
Source: RNAcentral